UGGGGAAUAUUGCGCAAUGGGGGAAACCCUGACGCAGCGACGCCGUGUGAGGGAAGAAGGCUUUCGGGUCGUAAACCUCUGUCGGGAAGGAAGAACCCCUCGGGUCCCAAUAGGGCUCGAGGCUGACGGUACUUCCAAAGGAAGCACCGGCUAACUCCGUGCCAGCAGCCGCGGUAAUACGGAGGGUGCAAGCGUUAAUCGGAAUCACUGGGCGUAAAGCGCGCGUAGGCGGCCUUUUAAAGUCGGACGUGAAAGCCCUCGGCUCAACCGGGGAAUUGCGUUCGAUACUGGGAGGCUUGAGUCCUGGAGAGGGUGGCGGAAUUCCGGGUGUAGGAGUGAAAUCCGUAGAUAUCCGGAGGAACACCGGUGGCGAAGGCGGCCACCUGGACAGGUACUGACGCU
RNAcentral lists this ribosomal RNA (402 nucleotides) under uncultured bacterium. RNAcentral's name for it is "bacterial SSU rRNA". It matches the Rfam family "Bacterial small subunit ribosomal RNA", at positions 355 to 747 of the family's 1533-position model. The record is from RNAcentral.